GUGCCAAGGGAGGGGAUUAAAGCAACAUGCUAUUUGGAGUGAUUGCUUAAUUUAUUGAGCUGCUUUUGGCGAGGGCUGCAAUGAAACAGAGCCCUUGUAACCGAUCGCCUCCUGCUGCAAUCGGACUUCUGCAACUCAGGGCUGUUUUCCAGGAGUUUUUCUGGAACAGCUUGGGAUCUUUAGCCUCUGUGGUGGGGUGCUUCUGAGCCCUCAUUUAUCCAGGCAGGCUGAUGUUAAUAAAGAAAAUAAGCAGUGUUUUAUGGACUGCCUCGUGUGCACCAGGCACUUUAUAUACAUUAUCUCUAAUCCCCACAAUUUCCCGGUGAAAUAACCCUUCAUUAUUCCCUGUGUGACCGUAGGAAGCCGGGGCACGGGAGGUGAUUUUCGAGAGCGACCUGGUCCAAGACAGUAGCUGCUAGCCACUGGCAUAAAUUAGAUAUUUAAAAAUAKAUUUAAAAAUUCACUGGCUGGGGGAUACUAGCAACCAGUUCAAGUGCCCGGUAGUCCUGUGUGGUCAGUGGCCACCACGCUGGGUUCGAUCCUCAGCACCACAUAAAAAAUAAAUAAAUAAAAUAAAGAUAUUAUGUCCAUCUACAACUAAAAAAAUUUUUUUAAAUAUAUAUAUWUUUUUUAUUAUAGGGUUCCAGGCCCGGAGAUUCUGUCCUGUGAUUUAUGGGGACAGGGACUGGCAUCGGAAGGUUUUAUAAUUCCGCAUGAGACUCCAGUGUGCAGCCAGGAAGGACACCGGCUGGAUGGGAGGAUCCGCACUCGGGAUGUUGGAAGGGGCUGCGUGGUCUCUUGGGGACCAGGARAGUUCUUCCAGAUUUCUCGUUGCUAAGCUAUAAAGUUCCAGGCUCUGCAGUGUGGCUGCUAAUUGGCCGAGAGCUCCUGGGCAGCUCCAAUCAGAACCAGGCUGCAGGAAGGAGUGUCCACCUCCCGGCCUCCCCGGGGGUUUCAGAAUGUUCUGGGUGAUGUCAUGAACCACACGAGUCUUUGUCUAACUCUGCAGAACCUGUUUUCUUGAGCCGGCUGAGGAGAGAUGCCACAGGUCCUGAAAUUCCCCAGGGAACGGGGAAUCUCCARGUCUUAACGGGUGAUCGGGACCUGUCUGUGGAUGACCGUGGGGACCUCCCACCGGGGGCAGGAGGGAUGCCUCAGU
Molecule: long non-coding RNA, 1159 nt
Filed under: Urocitellus parryii (Arctic ground squirrel)
Lineage: Eukaryota; Metazoa; Chordata; Mammalia; Rodentia; Sciuridae
Description: lncRNA (ENSUPAG00010022667.1)
Source: RNAcentral